GAACAACUGCUGCCGACCACAGUUUUUGUGACGAUAAGUCGAUAACAGACAAGUGAUAACAGUAAAGUUCCCUAUAAACAGUACAAGCACGGAAAGCUCUCUCGAUUCUCGAAUCUUGAUUCUCGUCCAAUGUCUCUAAGGAUCCUGGAUCGUUAAUGUAGUUAUUAAUUAAAAAAUAUUCAGUAAUCAAUGUGACCAUAUUGGUAGAUCUUAGCCAAUGUCAACAACGACGCUGCUCAUUGAACAAUAAAUUUCAAUCGCCGUUUCAGCAAUUUCAAAGAGAAACUGGUUCCUCAAGUUCUAUCUUGCUGAUGUACAUCUGCUAUCUACUGACAGGAAUCCGAUUGAGAAUGACUUACGUACCUACUUACAUGGCGGCACUGUGUUCUUAUUUAUUUGUCGUUUAUCUGAAGACCAUCCACAUUGAAGCAGCAUGAAAACAUUAAUUGUCAAUGCAAGGAUCGAAGAUCUAAAAACUAGUUGGUUGGAAGAGAACUUACUUCAAGAAAAGGAAAAGAAAAAAUAAUUGAUAACUAAAAGGUGUUCCAAAUAAAUCCACAAACUGUCAAUGCUUUACAAGAAUUACUAUUUGUUGAAUAGUCUCAAGACAAUUGUUUAGUUUAAUCUAUUAGAUAAGUACACUUAUAAUCAAAUUCAAAUCCAGUUUUUUUGCAAUAGUCUCUUAGGUACAAAAUUAUGCAGCGAAUAAGAAUAAUUGAGUAAAAUAAUAAUAUACCUACUUAAAAUAAUAAAAAUAAUUUUACCUAAUUUUUUUUAUAGUAAAUAUAAUAAUUAAAAAUAAUACAUAUUUACAUUUUACAAAUACUAAACAUUUUCUUAUUUUAUGCCACACAAAAACUGUCAUUUUACUAUAAUAUACACCAGGGAUCGCCAAAUGGUGGCCCUCGGGCCACAUCCGGCCCGUGGAUGAAUUUUAACUGGCCCGCAGACAAGGAGAAAACAAGCUGAUAAUUUCUUAUCUUUGUACAUUACUUUUGGCCAAUCGGCAUAUUAUAAUAAAUAUUAUGUACUUUACGUUUUUAUAGCCCGCAAGAAUUUUCCGAAUUCUUAAUGUGGCCCACGGAAACCUAUUAAUUUGUUGUUUUGUAUAUAAACUUCUCGAGCUAGUUUUUAAACAGUGUUUUAAAACUGUUUUUUUUCAUGUGUAACAUUUUUUCAUUUACUUGCCUAUUAGUUAUUAAUAACAAUAA
Long non-coding RNA from Myzus persicae (green peach aphid), 1211 nucleotides. RefSeq lists it as uncharacterized. The record is from RefSeq and is a predicted model, not a curated record. Lineage: Eukaryota; Metazoa; Arthropoda; Insecta; Hemiptera; Aphididae. The transcript is spliced from 4 exons.